Molecule: long non-coding RNA, 502 nt
Organism: Mya arenaria
Lineage: Eukaryota; Metazoa; Mollusca; Bivalvia; Myida; Myidae
Exons: 4
Source: RefSeq, a predicted model, not a curated record
AACAGCAAGCGCCAUAUGGUCACCCUCCCUGACUGCGUUACGGUUUGUGUGAAAUCUACUGAUGCCCUGGCACAGUAUCUGAAAUAUGUGCGGUGUCUCCACAACAAAUGGUGUGGUGCAUUGAAAAUAUCAUAGCAAUGUAACAGGUUCAAGUAUGAUGGUGGAGAAGUGAGGGAUCUGGCCAAAAAGCCGUCCGUUUACAAGAAUGUACAUCUGGUAUUGCAGAUAUUUGGACAACUGAAGGCCAGAUUGGAUGGCAUAUGUUAAAGCCAGCUGUAUGCCCGCAAGGAACAGUAAAACGUACACUUUCCAGCCAUCCUGUGACACUCGAUCAACCAGACGGCUUCCACAUCUAUCCAGUGGGCAUGUGAGUUGACACUACGGUGGCCGCUCAACCAUGACACAAUUGAUCAAUCACAGCUAGAGUUCAGCCGAUGUUCACGAAACAGAGAAAGGGAAUGGUCUACUUUAGAGGUCACGUUGCCUACCAUUUUAAGCAAAC